RNAcentral lists this ribosomal RNA (464 nucleotides) under uncultured bacterium. RNAcentral's name for it is "bacterial SSU rRNA". It matches the Rfam family "Bacterial small subunit ribosomal RNA", at positions 338 to 795 of the family's 1533-position model. The record is from RNAcentral.
CCUACGGGGGGCUGCAGUCGAGGAUCUUUAGCAAUGCCCGAAAGGGUGACUAUGCGACGCCGCGUGUGGGAUGAAGGCCUUCGGGUCGUAAACCACUGUCAGGGAGGAAGAAACCUUACGUGUUAACAGCGCGUAAGCUGACAUCACUCCCAAAGGAAGCCACGGCUAACUCUGUGCCAGCAGCCGCGGUAAGACAGAGGUGGCAAGCGUUGUUCGGAUUUAUUGGGUGUAAAGGGUCCGUAGGUGGUCUAACAAGUCUGAUGUGAAAUCCCAUGGCUCAACCGUGGAACUGCAUUGGAAACUGUUGGACUUGAGUACCGCAGAGGUAAAGGGAAUUCCCGGUGUAAGGGUGAAAUCUGUAGAUAUCGGGAGGAACACCAGUGGCGAAGGCGCUUUACUGGGCGGUUACUGACACUGAGGGACGAAAGCGUGGGGAGCAAACAGGAUUAGAUACCCUGGUAGUC